Molecule: unclassified non-coding RNA, 334 nt
Filed under: soil metagenome
Description: partial contains 5.8S ribosomal RNA, internal transcribed spacer 2, and large subunit ribosomal RNA
Rfam family: 5.8S ribosomal RNA (bases 1-120)
Source: RNAcentral
GAUGAAGAACGUAGCGAAAUGCGAUAAGUAAUGUGAAUUGCAGAAUUCAGUGAAUCAUCGAAUCUUUGAACGCACAUUGCGCCCGCCAGUAUUCUGGCGGGCAUGCCUGUUCGAGCGUCAUUUCAACCAUCAAGCCCUGCUUGCGUUGGGGUCCUGCGGCUGCCCGCAGGCCCUGAAAACCAGUGGCGGGCUCGCUAGUCACACCGAGCGCAGUAAUACAUCUCGCUUUGGGCGUGCGGCGGGUUCUUGCCGUUAAACACCCCCUUUUUACCAAGGUUGACCUCCGAUCAGGUAGGAAUACCCGCUGAACUUAAGCAUAUCAAUAAGCGGAGGA